RNAcentral lists this long non-coding RNA (3400 nucleotides) under Olea europaea subsp. europaea. The record is from RNAcentral. Lineage: Eukaryota; Viridiplantae; Streptophyta; Magnoliopsida; Lamiales; Oleaceae.
UUCUCUUCUCACACACAAACACUAGAAUACUUUUCCUUCUCAUGCUCAAUUUGGGAGGUGGAAUCGACGAGUCAUAGGUAGUGGAGAAGGGGCUGGAGGGAGUCAAUGCAGUGAUCAACUCCGAGAAGCUGAGGGGAGGAUGCUUUGGUAUUCACAAGGAAGGUGGGGGAGAAUUUUGUGUUUGCUGAAUAUGAAGAGGCCCUUCACAUCCAUGAAGCCAUUGGACAUGAAGAAGGUCUUUUCUAAUGUUAUUGAAAAGUUUGAAUGAUCGAUUAGGGUUCUUGAUUAGUUUGAACCUUUCAAUCAUUGCUGUUUUGAGUCCUCAACCUUCAAAUUUUGGGUUUGCAUCCUCAACUUAUUUAAAUCCAUUUCACAACCAGAAUUUUUCCUUCAAAAUCAACCGACCCCUAAUUUUCCAUUAGAAAUCUCUCUCAAAAAUUCAAACUUUACAAUCUUGGUUCUUCUUUAGUUUUGAUUUUUGCCGUGCAGGAUGGGUUGGUUGGCGGGUGUGAAAAAAUUGAAUGAUAAUGGUCUAUAAUUCUUAAAUCUUGGUUAAAUGGCAAUAUAUUGUGCUGAGACUGUGUUUUAGUUAUAACUUUUGUGGGUUUUAUUUGCUGCAGCAAUGGCAUCUAGAUGAAUGGACUAACGACCCUACACAGCUUGGUGAGGCUAAGCAGAAAUUUUGACAAAUUCAAGAAGCCUAUUCAGGUGAUAUUUUCUUUUCAAACAUUUUUCUAUUUUGUUGAAAGAAUUAUUCUUCUGUUUGUUGAUUAUUGUUGGUUAAGAAGUAUAUGUUUAACUUCUUUGUUGAUUAGAUGUUGUUUGGCUAAAAACAAUGUUAUCAGAUCAUAGCAAGAGGACAAUGUAUAAUGCCGGAGUAUAUGAUCCUGACGAAAAUGAAGAGUAAGUCAAAGUAGGUGUUUGUUUAGUAUGUCCAGAUUUAAAUUAUUAAUGUAUUUUGGAGUGAUUUUUUUCCCUAACAGCAUGUUAAUUUUAUCCUGUGUACAGGGAUUUGCUGAUUUUCUUGAAGAAAUGAUGUCCGUUAUGAAUGAUGUGAGGAAAGAGGUAUGGAUAUGACAAGUUCAUUUUUAAACAACAUUUUCUUGAAUUCUCAUUUUUUUAAUUAUGCAGAAACCGUCAAUUUGAAACCUUUGACUUUGCCAUUUUUUAGCUGACAUUUUAUACGAUUUGUUUGGAGAAUGUUUAUAACAAUUCUUUGUUUCUCGGUGAAGAUCUACUAAUAGUUCUAUCUUACAAGUUUUAUCAUUUUUUCGGCAAUUGAAUUUGUAUUACUUUUGUAACUUGCUGAACAUUGCUUCCUUUCUUGAUAUGGUUUACAUUGUCAUUGUGAUCCAAUUGCUUUUCUGUAUGAACUAAACAUGGCAUUAAUUAUGCAUAAGGUAUGAAACUAAUUAAUCUUUAUUGAAUCUCAACAUAUAUAAUGUAUAUUUAGCGGUUGAUCUGAUAGUGCAAUUGGAGAAAAGACAUAGUGAGUGACAAUGUAAUUGGCAAUACAUUGUUUGCUUUCUUCGAUUUUCUGAUUGUCUUUAAGAAUGAUCAUCUAAGCUGUUGAUGUAGUUUCUUUAAUGUGAAUAUUCAUGAUUAAGUGAUCAAAUAUAUCUCGUGGAUAUUGUUUGUUUAGUUUUUAUGCUACUCUUGAUUUGAAGCAAUUUUGAAUUGACCCAUUUAAUUCUAUUUAGGCUCAUAGUGAACUGAAAGUUUUCGAUUUACGUAUAAAAUUAUUUUAUGAAAAAUAUGUGGUUUACAAUGAGUUUUCGGUUAAAUAGGAGGUCAAACAUAGGCUUAAAGUUCUCAAGCAUAAAAAGGCAGCGUACAGUGCAAAUUGUUAUUAGACCCAAUUUGCCUUGGUAAAUAUAACUCUUAGGGAAAAAAUAUGGAAUACAUGCUCAUUGUCAUAGAAUCUAUAUAUUACUUCUAUAGAAGUUGCAUAUUAUGAGCUAUCAAACAUAUAUUCAUCAGGAAUAAUCUUCCUUGGCGUCCGUUGGUUAUAUGUUAAAUAUUACUGGCUGUGAGAUGAAUAAUAAAGUUAGCUCAAGCAUUAAUUCUAAGAAAGCACCACAGCAUCGUCAAAAUGUAAGUAUAUAAUUAUUGGGGAAAAAUGAAGGUGGGGUAUUUAUUCGUGGACAUUAUUGCAUAUCUUAACCAUUUGAGAGGAUUUAAAUUGAUGGGCAUUGAUGAAUACAUUGUCUACCAUAGGAUUUGAUGCAAUUCAGUGUUGCAUUUUGUUACACUUUUCAUGGGACGGGAGGUGAUCUAUUUAGUGUACCUACAAAGAUGAUGCCAUGGGAAGAUAGCACGAACUCCCUGGCCAUGGCCAAGAGAGAAGAAAUAAAUAUUUCUUCCUCUGUAUUCUAGCAAUAUUAUUGGUGAAGAAUGAAGUUUUUUAUUUUUUAUAUUCUUUUUUGAUGAUUCAGUGAGAGCGAGUUUUGAGCUUUCUGGACAAGCUUGGAGUAGACAAGUGGUGCUUCCAUUAAAUUAAAAUAUUAUGAUGCUAGAGCACAUUCGACCAUCUAUUUCUUAAUUAUUUAGUGUAUAUAACCAUAAGACAUAAGACCUUAUUUCCUUUAGACCACAUCCCUUUUCAUUAAUAGAGCAUUCUCAAUGAGGUGUACUCUCAUCUGAUUUUUUCAAUCAUUCCACAAAAAACUUUUGUUGUAGUCGAUCUUUCAAAAUUUUUAGUUUUGUGAUGUGAUUUUUUUAUUCAUUUGUACCCUUUUUGGAACUCAAAUAGUGAUUUUACUUUCGUCUCAUGAUUUUCAGAUUUUAAGGUCGGAUCUUUUACAGAUAGCACUCCUUGUGAAUGUUCCAAUCUUUGGGUAUUGUGUUUAAAGCUAUAUUCUCGUUGUCAAACUAUAAGAAGUUCGUACACAUUUAUGCAUAUUCUCAAAUGAUUUUGUUCCUUUCUAUUAUGAUUGUAUGAAUUUAUUUAUUUAUUAUUUAUUAUUUUUUAUGUUUUAUUUUUUUAUCUUCCACAGAUUUUAUCUGGCUCUGAAACAUCGCCUAAAGGUAAAGCAACAACAAAUUAUUAUUGUAUUUGGUGGAGGGUAAUCUCUACUACUACUUAUAAUUUCAUUAUGCCUAAUUUUGGAAGUUUAAUAUCCCUGUUUCUUUUUAUAGAGUCAAUAUGCUGAACACAGUGAUGCAAUAUUGCUAGUUGUAAUUCCUGCUUCCUGGGCCUUGAAAGUUGCCACAUGUGAAGCUAUUAAAAUUUCUAAGGAGCUUGAUGGAGACCUUGCUCAAAAGGGGUUGUGGAAUUUUAUUUUAUUUUUUAUUGGAAAUGUAUUGGGUUCAGAAUUUUGGAUCUCGAUUUUGUAUGGACAUUGCUUCAUUUUGGAGUCAAUUAAUAAUGAUUAUUUGAAUUGAUAUUGUUAUCUUCUAU